RNAcentral lists this ribosomal RNA (448 nucleotides) under uncultured bacterium. Its description in RNAcentral is "bacterial SSU rRNA". It matches the Rfam family "Bacterial small subunit ribosomal RNA", at positions 354 to 796 of the family's 1533-position model. The record is from RNAcentral.
GUUAAGAAUUUUGCGCAAUGGGCGAAAGCCUGACGCAGCGACGCCGCGUGAGCGAUGAAGGCCCAUAGGGUUGUAAAGCUCAUUAGAUGGGGACGAAUAAUCUAUAUUUAAUAGAUGUAGAGAUGACGGUACCUAUUGAAAGCCCCGGCUAAUUACGUGCCAGCAGCCGCGGUAAUACGUAUGGGGCGAGCGUUGUUCGGAAUUAUUGGGCGUAAAGGGAGCGUAGGCGGGGGAUUAAGUCAGGUGUGAAAGGCCACAGCUUAACUGUGGGACUGCAUUUGAUACUGAUUUCCUUGAGUCUGGGAGAGGAAGACGGAAUUCCUGGUGUAGCGGUGAAAUGCGUAGAUAUCAGGAGGAACACCGGUGGCGAAGGCGGUCUUCUGGUCUAAGACUGACGCUGAGGCUCGAAAGCAUGGGGAGCAAACGGGAUUAGAUACCCUAGUAGUCC